GAACGCACCUUGCGCUCCUUGGCAUUCCGAGGAGCAUGCCUGUUUGAGUGUCAUGUCAAUACUCAAAUCCAUGCCUUUGUGUAUGGGUUUGGACUUGAAGGGUUUGCUGGCUUUUCGGAGCUGGCUCCUUUUAAAUGCAUUAGCUGGUUUUAUGAGCCUGUUUUUCAGUGUUGUAAUUUUUUAAUACGCGCUGUGAUGAACUAGUUCAACUUGCCGCUGAUAGACAACAUUUUUCUAUGUCUCUGACCUCAAAUCAGGUAGGAUUACCCGCUGAACUUAAGC
This 282-nucleotide unclassified non-coding RNA is filed under the name uncultured Sistotremastrum. RNAcentral describes it as "sequence contains ITS2". The stretch from base 1 to 53 matches the Rfam family "5.8S ribosomal RNA", at positions 102 to 154 of the family's 154-position model. The record is from RNAcentral. Lineage: Eukaryota; Fungi; Basidiomycota; Agaricomycetes; Trechisporales.